CCUACGGGAGGCAGCAGUGAGGAAUAUUGGUCAAUGGACGAGAGUCUGAACCAGCCAAGUAGCGUGAAGGAUGACUGCCCUAUGGGUUGUACACUUCUUUUAUAUGGGAAUAAAAUGUUCCACGUGUGGGUUUUUGUAUGUACCAUAUGAAUAAGGAUCGGCUAACUCCGUGCCAGCAGCCGCGGUAAUACGGAGGAUCCGAGCGUUAUCCGGAUUUAUUGGGUUUAAAGGGUGCGUAGGUGGAUUGUUAAGUCAGUUGUGAAAGUUUGCGGCUCAACCUUAAAAUUGCAGUUGAAACUGGCAGUCUUGAGUACAGUAGAGGUGGGCGGAAUGUGUGGUGUAGCGGUGAAAUGCUUAGAUAUCACGAAGAACACCGAUUGCGAAGGCAGUUCACUGGACUGCAACUGACACUGAGGCUCGAAAGUGUGGGUAUCAAACAGGAUUAGAUACCCGAGUAGUC
This 460-nucleotide ribosomal RNA is filed under the name uncultured bacterium. RNAcentral describes it as "partial 16S ribosomal RNA". It matches the Rfam family "Bacterial small subunit ribosomal RNA", at positions 338 to 795 of the family's 1533-position model. The record is from RNAcentral.